UAAUACCGCAUACGACCUACGGGUGAAAGCGGGGGAGUCGCAAGACCUCGCGCGACAGGAUGAGCCGAUGUCCGAUUAGCUAGUUGGCGGGGUAAAGGCCCACCAAGGCGACGAUCGGUAGCUGGUCUGAGAGGAUGAUCAGCCACACUGGGACUGAGACACGGCCCAGACUCCUACGGGAGGCAGCAGUGGGGAAUAUUGGACAAUGGGCGCAAGCCUGAUCCAGCCAUGCCGCGUGGGUGAAGAAGGCCUUCGGGUUGUAAAGCCCUUUUGUCCGGGAAGAAAUCGUCUGGGCUAAUACCCCGGGCGGAUGACGGUACCGGAAGAAUAAGCACCGGCUAACUUCGUGC
Molecule: ribosomal RNA, 350 nt
Filed under: uncultured Caldimonas sp.
Lineage: Bacteria; Pseudomonadati; Pseudomonadota; Betaproteobacteria; Burkholderiales; Sphaerotilaceae
Description: bacterial SSU rRNA
Rfam family: Bacterial small subunit ribosomal RNA
Source: RNAcentral